GUAGGUGGCAAGCGUUGUCCGGAAUUAUUGGGCGUAAAGCGCGCGCAGGCGGUCCUUUAAGUCUGAUGUGAAAGCCCACGGCUCAACCGUGGAGGGUCAUUGGAAACUGGGGGACUUGAGUACAGAAGAGGAAAGCGGAAUUCCAAGUGUAGCGGUGAAAUGCGUAGAGAUUUGGAGGAACACCAGUGGCGAAGGCGGCUUUCUGGUCUGUAACUGACGCUGAGGCGCGAAAGCGUGGGGAGCAAACAGGGAUUAGAUACCCUGGUAGUCCACGCCGUAAACGAUGAGUGCUAAGUGUAGGGGGUUUCCGCCCCCUUAGUGCUGCAGCUAACGCAUUAAGCACUCCGCCUGGGGAGUACGGCCGCAAGGCUG
Molecule: ribosomal RNA, 372 nt
Filed under: uncultured organism
Description: partial 16S ribosomal RNA
Rfam family: Bacterial small subunit ribosomal RNA
Source: RNAcentral